GCCGCGGGCCCUGCGCAUGCGCCGUGCGUGGAGCGCCGCUGCUGGCUCUGCUUUGGCAGCGGUACCGGAUUUUGUGUUUGGAAAUGCAGGCCUCACAAAAUGAAUUGAGAAGUGUUCCUUUAUUUUCUAAUUUCUGAAAGGUGUCCUGGAACUUCUCUGCUAGACUCCUGGGGACUGGAGCUGGCUUAUAGGGUCACUACAGGGUCCACAGCCAGGACUGAGGUCCAUAUGCCUAUUAUUCAACACAUGGGUGGCCGAGACUCCUCCUGGAUCCCUUGGAGUGUGGUGCUGGAUCCCACAGGUCCCAUGAACACUUUUUUGGUAGGUGAAAAGCAAAUUGCUGGUGGGGGGAGGUACAAGUGAGAAAUGUCUUCUUCAGUCAUUUUGCUUUUUUUUUUUUUCCUUUGGGAAAACUCCCCACUGUCUUCCUGCAUGAUUUCUGAGAAGUUGGCUGUAAUUCUUACCUUUGCUUCUUUAUAAUAAGGUGUUUUUUUGUUUGUUUUUUUGUUUGUUUGUAUUUUUUUUGGCCCCCUCUGGCUCUUUUUCAAGUUUUUUUUUCUUUUUUUUUUUUUUUAGUUAUUAUUUUUUUUAUUUAAGUGUAAUUGAUUUACAAUGUUGUGCCAAUUUCUACUGUACAGCUAGGUGACCCAGUCAUAUAUCUACAUAUAUACACAUUAUUUUUCUCAUAUUAUCUUCCAAUAUGUUCUAUCACAAGAGAUUGGAUAUAGUUCCCUGUGCCAUACAGUGUAGGGCAUUGUUGCUUAGCCACUUUAAAUAUAAUCAAGAUUUUUUUUAGGGCCACACCCAGGGCAUAUGGAGGUUCCCAGGCUAGGGGUCCAUUUGGAGCUGUAGCCACCGGUGUACGCCAGAGCCACAGCAACGCGGGAUCUGAGCUGUGUCUGCAACCUACACCACAGCUCACAGCAACGCUGGAUCGUUAACCCACUGAGCAAGGGCAGGGAUCAAACUCGCAACCUCAUGGUUCCUAGUCGGAUUCGUUAACCACUGCGCCACGACGGGAACUCCCAACUCUAAAAUUAUAUGCAGAUAAUCAACUUCACAAAGCUGUCAGCACCCCUAAUCCCUGUGUUGUUCAAGAAUUGAUUAUAGUUGUCCCUUAGUUCUUGAUAUUCUGUUGUGUUUUUUUCCUGUUUUUGUUUUCUCUUUGCAUUUCAGUUUUGAAAGUUUCUACUGCGAUAUCCUCAAGCUCAGGUUUUCUUCCCUCAGUUGUAUCUUUAUUUCUGUUCCCCUGUUUUUGACCCCUAGCAUUUCUUUUUGAUUCUUUCCUAGAAUUUUCAUCUGUCUCUCUGCUUACAUUGCCCAUCUGUUCUUGCAUGUUGUCUACUUUGUACUAGAGCCUUUAUCGCAUUAAUUACAGUUGUUUUAAAUUCCUGGACAGAUAAUUCCAAUAUCCUCGCCACAUCUGAGUCUGGUUCUGAUGCUUGCUCUGUCUUUCAAACUGUCUUUUACCUUUUAGAAUAACUUGUAAUUUUUUUGGUGUGCUAGCCAUCCACGAUUCAGUCUGUGCUAUAGAAUGAAUGUGUGUGUUCACCAAAUUCAAUAUCCACCCCCAAAAUGUUGAAACCAGUGUGGUGGUAUUUGGAGGCAGGGCCUUUGAGGGUGAUUAGAUCAUGAGGGUAAAGCCCCUCACAAAUAGGACUAGUGCUUUUAUAAAAGAGAUCCCGGGGAGCUCUCUUGACCCUUUUGCCAUGUGAGGACACAGCCAGAAGAGAGUUUUCUGUGAACCAGGAAGUGGGCUCUUACCAGAUACUGAAUCUGCUGGCACCUUGAUCUUGGACUUUCUAGCCUCCAAAACUCUGAGAAAUAGUUUCUGUUGUUUGUAAGCCAGCCAGUCAAUGGUGUAUUUGUUAUAGCAGCCCAAAUGGACUAAGACAUGCUGGGUGAAAGUAACUGUUUUAAAUAGGACUUUAGGAGUUCCCAUUGUGGUGCAGUGGAAACGAAUCUGAAUAGUAUCCAAGAGGAUUUGGGUUUAAUCCCUGGCCUCGCUUAGUGGGUUGGGGAUCUGGCAUUGCUGUGAGCUGUGGUAUAGGUUGCAGAUGUGGCUCAGAUCCUGUGUUGCUGUGGCUGUGGUGUAGGCCAACAGCCGUAGCUCCUAUUCAACCCUAGCCUGGGAACCUCCAUAUGCUACAGGUGCAGCCCUAAAGAAGAAGAAAAAAAAAAGACUUCAGUGGAGUUCCUGCUGUGACUCAGCAUGUUGAGAACCACCAUUAUCUCUCUUAGGAUACAGGUUUGAUCCCUGGUCUCAUUCAGUGGGUUAAGUGGGUUAAGAAUCCAGCAUUGCUGCAAGCUGCUGCAUAGGUCACAGAUGUGGCUCAGAUCUGGUGUUGCUGUGGUUGUGGCAUAGCCCAGCAGCUGCAGCUCCCAUUCAGCCCUUGGCCCAGGAACUUCCAUAUACUACAAAUGUGGCCAUAAAAGAAAACAAAAAACAAACAAAAAACAGGACUUUAGUAAUGUGGCAGUAAGUUAUGGGGAGAAGGGAAGUAUUCUUUUGUCCUAAUGAUUAGGUCUCAGUCUUAGGUGAGCCUAUGCCUCUGAACCGUGAACUUCAUACACUCUUCUCAGCCCUCCGACCUCCUCCUAGGUAAGGCCUUAUGGCUCAAGUGGGAUGAAGUUGAGUAUUUACCUACCCCAGAUGUGUUAGACUCUGAUAAAACUCCAAUAGUUUAUGCCCUGCCAAAAUAAUUUCUCUUGAGGGUAGGCCUUUUUAAGAAUAGGAUGCUCUGGCUUUUUCACAAUGGUUCCCAUUCCUCUCCCCCUGCUGGAAGCAUAAAGGUAUUUCCCCCAAAGUCACUAUGAGAACCUGGUAGGUCUCCUACUAGAGUUAAAAACCCUCGAAGUAUCAGGACCGUUUCUGUGCCUGGAUCUCCCUGGAGGUUUUAACUAUCAGAAUUGUCCACACUGAGCUUCCAGAAAUUCAACACUGACAAUUUUGGUGUUCCUACCCUGGCCUGAGGUUUCGGCUUGUGGGUUUCUGCUCUCCUAAGUUGUGAUUCUUUGUAUUGGUCUGUAUGUCUCUCUAAUUUGGGGAACAGUGGUUUGCCCCAUGACCUCACUUCUCUGACAGAUGGACAAAGAGUUUUUGAUUUUUCCUUUUGUUCAGCUUUUUACUUAUUGUCAGGAUGGAGUGGCAACUUCCAAGCUCCUUAUAUGUUGGACUGGAAACUGGAAGUUCUGUGAUAUCAUUUUAAUGAUAGAAAGAAAUGGAAGGAGUAACAAAGAACUGUUGAAUAAAAAAUACAAUAGUUUAAAAUUCAAAUAUUAUCCUUCUGUAAACUUCAAUUCAAACAUUAUCAAUAUUCAAUUUAAAUAUUAUUCCUCUGUAUGGAGUUUCCAUUAUGGCUCAGCAUUGCUGUGGCUGUGGCAUUGGCCAGCAGCUGCAGCUCUGAAUCAACCCCUAACCUGGGAACUUCCAUGUGCCACAGGUGCGGCCC
Molecule: long non-coding RNA, 3452 nt
Filed under: Sus scrofa (pig)
Lineage: Eukaryota; Metazoa; Chordata; Mammalia; Artiodactyla; Suidae
Description: lncRNA (ENSSSCG00050036012.1)
Source: RNAcentral